Molecule: long non-coding RNA, 1130 nt
Organism: Paramisgurnus dabryanus
Lineage: Eukaryota; Metazoa; Chordata; Actinopteri; Cypriniformes; Cobitidae
Source: RefSeq, a predicted model, not a curated record
ACUAAAUAAAAUUUUUAAACGGUUCAGGAAUUCCGUGAAUCUUUUCAUAACCUGCACUAUAGUUUCACGCGUAUUAAAGAUCCAGCGGUGCCUGACAAAGCGCCGGGUGAGUGUUCAUAUCUGCCAUUUUAAAAUAAUGUUAAUAAAUGUAAUUCUGUCCACUAUGGCAAAAUAGGAUUUUAUUUUAGAUUUAGUGGAAUCUUUAACCAAGUCUCUGAUUAAGACAUGUGUAUACGUGCACAGAUGGUGACAGAGAAACUUAUAUAUGACGUUAAUAAUCUUUUAAAUGUUUUUAAGACGUAUUCACCCCAUUUUGGGGUUUUAUUUUUAAUUAAAGGCUUCUUAAAACAUGUGUGAAUAUGUGUGUAUUAUACAAAGAGUCUUAUAUUGUCUGCUCUGACAAAAAUAAAGUCUUUUUUAGGUUUAGGGGAAUUGACUGCGUGUGUCUUAUAAAUACAACUUGAUAAUAUGUUUGUUUUGUAAAGAGACUUCUUUAAAGUCACGCAAGAAUAAAAUAUUUUAGAUGUAACUGGUUAAACUUAAAGCCGAUAUUUUCUAUCGAACUAGUCUAUUUUCUGUUCAGACACAAAGUUUUCUGAUGCUGAUAUUAUGUCAGUGUGUGUUUGUGUGGGGGUCGUGUGAUGUAAUCUUUGAAAGUUUAUGACCGAACCUUUAUUGGGGAGCGACAAGAGAUCUCCCGGAAUCAGUUUGGAUGGAGCAGAGCUGUUAUACUCAAGUCUGUUGCGAAAUUGUCUAAACUGGUAUUAACUAUUCCUGGUAAAUCGCGGAGAAGAGUGGCCUGAACAAAAAAGUCAGACCGAGACUAGAACCUCCCGCAGCGUAACACGGAAAUCUUGGAACAAAAGAGACGCCGACUGGCUCGUGUUGUCCGGUUUGGAUAUCAGAGGCAAAGCGAACGUUGUGUGUACUAUUGCAAAAUAUAUAGCGGAUCUCCACGGUUAGGAUACAGACCACGACGCUUUGGACGUAUCUUUAAAAAAGAUUAAAAUCAGAGACUUUUUGGAUUUGUCUGGGGACAUUUUAAACAUUUUGUGGCAAAUUGGAUUUAAAACAUUUCGGAUACUGGAUACCUAGUUUGAUUUGUCCACAGAGCUUGUUUAAGACGUUUU